UCCGCUGAUCCAGUCAAUUUCGGU
Molecule: small nuclear RNA, 24 nt
Filed under: Arabidopsis thaliana (thale cress)
Lineage: Eukaryota; Viridiplantae; Streptophyta; Magnoliopsida; Brassicales; Brassicaceae
Description: snRNA_02017
Source: RNAcentral